This 213-nucleotide long non-coding RNA is filed under the name Hordeum vulgare. RNAcentral's name for it is "long non-coding RNA (HVUL_LNC009435)". Lineage: Eukaryota; Viridiplantae; Streptophyta; Magnoliopsida; Poales; Poaceae. The record is from RNAcentral.
UUUCAUAAUUAGAAACAUGUUACCGGGCUGUCUAUUUCCUCUUUUUUCUCAUACCUAGCCUCUGUGCACAGUGCACUGACCUGCUUGCAACUAGUCCAAAACUACACCUGCGGGGCCUCCUCUAGCAAGCAUCAACGAGUCCCAAACCCUGCCAUGCCCGCACCAAGGAGCAAACUAGGGGGAUAGGAGUCAUUGCUAGCUGCUCGACCGUCA